RNAcentral lists this long non-coding RNA (962 nucleotides) under Nicotiana benthamiana. Its description in RNAcentral is "long non-coding RNA (NBEN_LNC035921)". Lineage: Eukaryota; Viridiplantae; Streptophyta; Magnoliopsida; Solanales; Solanaceae. The record is from RNAcentral.
CUGUGUCCAUAGCAGCAUAACUUCCUUCGGGAUCCUUUAAUUGGAUCUCGUCAUCCUCUACUCGGGGAGUAGCUGGGUUGGUGAACAUCUAUAGCACCGCCUCAGCAGUGUGGGCAACGAGGUUUGGCUCCUCAGACUGGCCAGCUGGUGUCACUGGUGCUGAUGGUACUGCUGGGUCUGAUGGUGUUGCUGGAGCAGUCUCCAUCAGCUAGUCAAAUGGAAGAUGCGCAGCAGCUGCUAUCUUGGUCAUCUCUCAUCUCAACCUGUCAAUUGAUUUCUUCGAAGCCUGGUAUUGUCUCAUCUUCUUCACCUGCUUUGCAAGCUCCUCAAUUGUUGUUUCAUGUACCACCAAAAUGUCCAUGAUGGUCUUCUGGUACUCCAGAAUCUUAUACAAAGUUUCCUCUACUAUCAGAGAAAUCUGGGAUGCUGGGUAGAAGUCUAGGCUGCAAUAACACUGAAUAGGUCAGACAUAUUUGUAGUAGUUGUUUGCAUCUAGAUGUUGAGACUCACUAGUGUUUGGGAGACUCGCAGCAUAGAAAGUGGAUGAGCAUACAUACGCACUAUCCUCAAAGUAGAAGUGGAUGGAGUUAUGCUGACAACGCGGAAGAUAGAAGUGGAGGUAUAUAAGUUGUACUGCUAGAAGGCCCAACUGCAGUUGUAGGCAUGUCAGCUGAAUCUGUAGCUACCACCGAAGGCUUAUCAGACUAACUCACAGUAGUAAUCAGCUGGCCCUUGUUCUUUGGGUUCCUCGGGUCCUUUAAGGAGUAGCAUGUGAAGGUCUUCUUCGCCUGAACCUUUGUGUCAAAGCUCUUUGACUCCACCCCUACAUCCAUAAGAUACUCCGUGAUAGUGUUAGGAGACGGGUAUGAGCUAUCACGCUGCGUACCGACCAGAGACAUGUUGAUCGACAUGAUUUCACCCAUAUUGAUUGGGUACCCGACCACGAUGGAGGCCACCAAAAA